GAUGAACGCUGGCGGCGUGCCUAAUACAUGCAAGUCGAGCGAACAGACGAGGAGCUUGCUCCUCUGACGUUAGCGGCGGACGGGUGAGUAACACGUGGAUAACCUACCUAUAAGACUGGGAUAACUUCGGGAAACCGGAGCUAAUACCGGAUAAUAUAUUGAACCGCAUGGUUCAAUAGUGAAAGACGGUUUUGCUGUCACUUAUAGAUGGAUCCGCGCCGCAUUAGCUAGUUGGUAAGGUAAAGGCUUACCAAGGCAACGAGGCGUAGCCGACCUAAGAGGGGGAUCGGCCACACUGGAACUAAGACCCGGUCCAGACUCCUACGGGAGGCAGCAGUAGGGCAUCUUCCGCAAGGGGCGAAAGCCUGACGGAGCAACGCCGCGUGAGGGAUGAAGGUCUUCGGAUCGUAAAACUCUGUUAUUAGGGAAGAACAAAUGUGUAAGUAACUAUGCACGUCUUGACGGUACCUAAUCAGAAAGCCACGGCUAACUACG
Molecule: ribosomal RNA, 495 nt
Filed under: uncultured bacterium
Lineage: Bacteria
Description: partial 16S ribosomal RNA
Rfam family: Bacterial small subunit ribosomal RNA
Source: RNAcentral